This 253-nucleotide ribosomal RNA is filed under the name uncultured bacterium. RNAcentral describes it as "partial 16S ribosomal RNA". It matches the Rfam family "Bacterial small subunit ribosomal RNA", at positions 524 to 776 of the family's 1533-position model. The record is from RNAcentral.
UACGGAGGGUGCAAGCAUUAAUCGGAAUUAUUGGGCGUAAAGGGCGCGUAGGCGGAUUUGUAAGUCAGAUGUGAAAUUCCGGAGCUCAACUUCGGAGCUGCAUUUGAAACUGUGAAUCUAGAGGGAUGGCGGAGAAAAUGGAAUUCCACGUGUAGCGGUGAAAUGCGUAGAUAUGUGGAAGAACAUCUGUGGCGAAAGCGGUUUUCUAGCUAUUACCUGACGCUGAGGCGCGAGAGCAAGGGGAGCAAACAGG